This 662-nucleotide ribosomal RNA is filed under the name uncultured cyanobacterium. RNAcentral's name for it is "partial 16S ribosomal RNA". The record is from RNAcentral. Lineage: Bacteria; Bacillati; Cyanobacteriota.
GACUACAGGGGUAUCUAAUCCCUUUCGCUCCCCUAGCUUUCGUCCCUGAGUGUCAGUACAGGUCCAGUAGAGCGCCUUCGCCACUGGUGUUCUUCCCAAUCUCUACGCAUUUCACCGCUACACUGGGAAUUCCCUCUACCCCUACCGUACUCUAGUCCACCAGUUUCCACCGCCUGCCCAGGGUUAAGCCCUGGUCUUUGACAGCAGACUUGAUGCACCACCUGCGGACGCUUUACGCCCAAUAAUUCCGGAUAACGCUUGCAUCCUCCGUAUUACCGCGGCUGCUGGCACGGAGUUAGCCGAUGCUGAUUCCUCAAGUACCGUCAGUUCUUCUUCCUUGAGAAAAGAGGUUUACAACCCAAAAGCCUUCCUCCCUCACGCGGUAUUGCUCCGUCAGGCUUGCGCCCAUUGCGGAAAAUUCCCCACUGCUGCCUCCCGUAGGAGUCUGGGCCGUGUCUCAGUCCCAGUGUGGCUGCUCAUCCUCUCAGACCAGCUACCGAUCGUUGCCUUGGUGCGCUUUUACCACCCCAACUAGCUAAUCGGACGCGAGCUCCUCUUCAGGCGAUAAAUCUUUUACCUUGCGGCUCAUUGGGUAUUAGCAGUCAUUUCUAACUGUUGUCCCCAUCCUGAAGGCAGAUUCUCACGCGUUACUCACCCGUCCG